This 253-nucleotide ribosomal RNA is filed under the name uncultured bacterium. Its description in RNAcentral is "partial 16S ribosomal RNA". It matches the Rfam family "Bacterial small subunit ribosomal RNA", at positions 524 to 776 of the family's 1533-position model. The record is from RNAcentral.
GACAGAGGGUGCAAACGUUGUUCGGAAUUACUGGGCGUAAAGCGCGUGUAGGCGGCUAUGUAAGUCGGGCGUGAAAUCCCACGGCUCAACCGUGGAAGUGCACCCGAAACUGCGUAGCUAGAGUCCUGGAGAGGAAGGUGGAAUGCUUGGUGUAGAGGUGAAAUUCGUAGAUAUCAAGCGGAACACCGGUGGCGAAGGCGGCCUUCUGGGCUAUGGCUGACACUGAGGCGCGACAGCGUGGGGAGCAAACAGG